CGAGGUUACGUACGAUGUGUAGAGUAUGAUGCUGGCUGAGACAGCAUAAAAUUGGCUAUGAGUUGGCGGGGGACGGGAGGGGGGACGUGGGUAACCGGGCCAUAAGACUGGGAUAACUCCGGGAAACCGGGGCUAAUACCGGAUAACAUUUUGAACCGGAAGGGUCGAAAUUGAAAGGCGGCUUCGGCUGUCACUUAUGGAUGGACCCGCGUCGCAUUAGCUAGUUGGUGAGGUAACGGCUCACCAAGGCAACGAUGCGUAGCCAACCUGAGAGGGUGAUCGGCCACACUGGGACUGAGACACGGCCCAGACUCCUACGGGAGGCAGCAGUAGGGAAUCUUCCGCAAUGGACGAAAGUCUGACGGAGCAACGCCGCGUGAGUGAUGAAGGCUUUCGGGUCGUAAAACUCUGUUGUUAGGGAAGAACAAGUGCUAGUUGAAUAAGCUGGCACCUUGACGGUACCUAACCAGAAAGCCACGGCUAACUACGUGCCAGCAGCCGCGGUAAUACGUAGGUGGCAAGCGUUAUCCGGAAUUAUUGGGCGUAAAGCGCGCGCAGGUGGUUUCUUAAGUCUGAUGUGAAAGCCCACGGCUCAACCGUGGAGGGUCAUUGGAAACUGGGAGACUUGAGUGCAGAAGAGGACAGUGGAAUUCCAUGUGUAGCGGUGAAAUGCGUAGAGAUAUGGAGGAACACCAGUGGCGAACGCGACUUUCUGUGUCUGUAACUGACACUGAGGGCGCGAAAGCGUGGGGAGCAAACACGAUUAGAUACCCUGGUAGUCCACGCCGUAAACGAUGAGUGCUAAGUGUUAGAGCGUUUCCGCCCUUCUAUGCUGAAGUUACGCAGUAAACACUCCGCCCUGCGGGAGUAUCGGGCGGCAUGAUUGAAUCUUCAGAGGACUUGGAGAGGAGCGCCGCACAAGCGUAGGAGAUGGUGUUUUAGUUCGAAGGCAGCGGCGUAAAAUCCUUACCUGGGUCGUGGACGAUCAUCUGAACAAGCCUUA
Molecule: ribosomal RNA, 1003 nt
Filed under: Bacillus cereus
Lineage: Bacteria; Bacillati; Bacillota; Bacilli; Caryophanales; Bacillaceae
Description: bacterial SSU rRNA
Rfam family: Bacterial small subunit ribosomal RNA
Source: RNAcentral